GGAUAGCUCAGUUGGCUAGAGUGCGGUACUGAUAAUGCCAGAGUUGAAGGUUCGAUACCCGUAUGGAACA
This is a non-coding RNA of Podarcis lilfordi (Lilford's wall lizard), 70 nucleotides long. Lineage: Eukaryota; Metazoa; Chordata; Lepidosauria; Squamata; Lacertidae. The record is from the annotation of a GenBank genome assembly.